RNAcentral lists this ribosomal RNA (447 nucleotides) under uncultured bacterium. Its description in RNAcentral is "partial 16S ribosomal RNA". It matches the Rfam family "Bacterial small subunit ribosomal RNA", at positions 28 to 523 of the family's 1533-position model. The record is from RNAcentral.
GACGAACGCUGGCGGCAGGCUUAACACAUGCAAGUCGAACGCUCCGCAAGGAGAGUGGCAGACGGGUGAGUAACGCGUGGGAAUCUACCCAUCCCUACGGAACAACUCCGGGAAACUGGAGCUAAUACCGUAUACGCCCUUCGGGGGAAAGAUUUAUCGGGGAUGGAUGAGCCCGCGUUGGAUUAGCUAGUUGGUGGGGUAAAGGCCUACCAAGGCGACGACCCAUAGCUGGUCUGAGAGGAUGAUCAGCCACAUUGGGACUGAGACACGGCCCAAACUCCUACGGGAGGCAGCAGUGGGGAAUAUUGGACAAUGGGCGCAAGCCUGAUCCAGCCAUGCCGCGUGAGUGAUGAAGGUCUUAGGAUUGUAAAGCUCUUUCACCGGGGAAGAUAAUGACGGUACCCGGAGAAGAAGCCUCGGCUAACUUCGUGCCAGCCGCCGCAGUAA